This 448-nucleotide ribosomal RNA is filed under the name uncultured crenarchaeote. Its description in RNAcentral is "bacterial SSU rRNA". It matches the Rfam family "Archaeal small subunit ribosomal RNA", at positions 1 to 428 of the family's 1478-position model. The record is from RNAcentral. Lineage: Archaea; Thermoproteati; Thermoproteota.
UUCCGGUUGAUCCCGCCGGACCCGACUGCUAUUGGGGUGAGGCUAAGCCAUGCGAGUCAGCGCUUCUAACCAUGAUGAGGCGCGGCAUACGGCUCAUUAACAUGUGGUCAAUCUACCCUCAGGACGGGGACACCCUCGGGAAACUGAGGCUGAUCCCAGAUAGAUAAUGGAUCCUGGAAUGGUUCUUUAUCAAAAUGAUAUGGAGCUCAUGUGUUUCGUGUCGCCUGAGGAUGAGACCGCACCCUAUCAGGUAGUUGGUGGGGUAACGGCCCACCAAGCCUAUAACGGGUACGGGCCCUGAGAGGGGGAGCCCGGAGAUGGGUACUGAGACAAGGACCCAGGCCCUACGGGGCGCAGCAGGCGCGAGACCUCUGCAAUGCGCGAAAGCGCGACAGGGCCACCCCGAGUGCUAGACGCUGAGUCUAGCUUUUCCUUAGUGUAGUAAGCU